AAUCCGCAAUCUGUUGCGUGCGCCUCGGCUGGAUAAGGAAGCGCGUUUUUGUUUUUAUUGUUAUGCACUGGGAAUUGACGCCACGGCAAAGAGCAGCGCUAACUUAACAAAAAAGGAGGAUUAGAGCUUGAUAAAAACACUGUGCGGGAGCGGGUACUCAAAGUACUCUGAAGUGACAGGCGACAGUAAAGGAGGCAUAGGAGAAAACAGCAAACUGCACAAUGACAUCCUGAGGCCAACAGCCACAUGUGUCCCAGGUUCUUCAAGACAGAGCAUAUAGAUACACAAUCCCCACUGUCAAACAUGGUGGUGGCAGCAUCAUGGUUUGGGCCUGCUUUUCUUCAGCAGGGACAGGGAAGAUGUUUAAAAUUGAUGGGAAGAUGGAUGGAGCCAAAUACAG
Molecule: long non-coding RNA, 400 nt
Organism: Tachysurus fulvidraco (yellow catfish)
Lineage: Eukaryota; Metazoa; Chordata; Actinopteri; Siluriformes; Bagridae
Exons: 3
Source: RefSeq, a predicted model, not a curated record